Molecule: ribosomal RNA, 301 nt
Filed under: uncultured bacterium
Lineage: Bacteria
Description: partial 16S ribosomal RNA
Rfam family: Bacterial small subunit ribosomal RNA
Source: RNAcentral
CAGUAGCCGCGGGAAUACAGAGGGUGCGAGCGUUAAUCGGAUUUACUGGGCGUAAAGCGUGCGUAGGCGGCUUCUUAAGUCGGAUGUGAAAUCCCUGAGCUUAACUUAGGAAUUGCAUUCGAUACUGGGAAGCUAGAGUAUGGGAGAGGAUGGUAGAAUUCCAGGUGUAGCGGUGAAAUGCGUAGAGAUCUGGAGGAAUACCGAUGGCGAAGGCAGCCAUCUGGCCUAAUACUGACGCUGAGGUACGAAAGCAUGGGGAGCAAACAGGAUUAGAUACCCCCGUAGUCCAUGUCUCUUAUAA